ACGUAGGUGGCAAGCGUUAUCCGGAAUUACUGGGCGUAAAGGGCGUGUAGGCGGGAAGACAAGUCAGGAGUGAAAUCCCAGGGCUUAACCCUGGAGCUGCUUCUGAAACUGUUUUUCUUGAGUAUCGGAGAGGAAAGUGGAAUUCCCAGUGUAGCGGUGAAAUGCGUAGAGAUUGGGAGGAACACCAGUGGCGAAGGCGGCUUUCUGGACGAUUACUGACGCUGAGGCGCGAAAGCGUGGGGAGCAAACAGGAUUAGAUACCCUGGUAGUCCACGCUGUAAACGAUGGAUACUAGGUGUGGGGGGUAUCGACCCCUCCCGUGCCGCAGUUAACACAAUAAGUAUCCCGCCUGGGGAGUACGGCCGCAAGGUUG
RNAcentral lists this ribosomal RNA (373 nucleotides) under uncultured bacterium. RNAcentral's name for it is "bacterial SSU rRNA". It matches the Rfam family "Bacterial small subunit ribosomal RNA", at positions 525 to 896 of the family's 1533-position model. The record is from RNAcentral.